This 492-nucleotide ribosomal RNA is filed under the name uncultured bacterium. RNAcentral describes it as "partial 16S ribosomal RNA". It matches the Rfam family "Bacterial small subunit ribosomal RNA", at positions 29 to 507 of the family's 1533-position model. The record is from RNAcentral.
AGUGAACGCUGGCGGUAGGCCUAACACAUGCAAGUCGAACGGCAGCACAGUAAGAGCUUGCUCUUACGGGUGGCGAGUGGCGGACGGGUGGGGAAUACAUCGGAAUCUACUUUUUCGUGGGGGAUAACGUAGGGAAACUUACGCUAAUACCGCAUACGACCUACGGGUGAAAGCAGGGGAUCUUCGGACCUUGCGCGAUUGAAUGAGCCGAUGUCGGAUUAGCUAGUUGGCGGGGUAAAGGCCCACCAAGGCGACGAUCCGUAGCUGGUCUGAGAGGAUGAUCAGCCACACUGGAACUGAGACACGGUCCAGACUCCUACGGGAGGCAGCAGUGGGGAAUAUUGGACAAUGGGCGCAAGCCUGAUCCAGCCAUACCGCGUGGGUGAAGAAGGCCUUCGGGUUGUAAAGCCCUUAUGUUGGGAAAGAAAAGCAGCAGGUUAAUACCCCGCUGUUCUGACGGUACCCAAAGAAUAAGUACCGGCUAACUUCGUG